This is a long non-coding RNA of Lineus longissimus, 501 nucleotides long. RefSeq lists it as uncharacterized. The transcript is spliced from 3 exons. The record is from RefSeq and is a predicted model, not a curated record. Lineage: Eukaryota; Metazoa; Nemertea; Pilidiophora; Heteronemertea; Lineidae.
CUCGCUUGAGUUUCUGAAGAAUGUUCCAUAUCGCGCUAAGCUAAUCACUACUGAUUAUGACAGGCGUGCAACGGCACACAUCCACAGAGCACUCUUCAAAUCAUCUACACAGUGGUUAUCCAACUAGGAUUAUAAAGCUGUCAUGCAACGCAACAACUGUGCUAUCUGCCAUCGCACAUCAACGAAGAAGUGCAGCCGCCCACAUUCCACCUCACGUCUGUCCGACCAGCUGCAAUCCUCGAGGACGCCCCACUGUACCACGAUUUCACUACGAUGUUUGACAAGAAGGAGCAGUGCGCGAGAUAGGCUAAUGAGCAGACUUCCCUCGCUUGAGUUUCGGAAGAAUGUUCGAUAUCGCGCUAAGCUGACCACUGCUGACCAUGACAGGCGUGCAUUGGACUGGUACAGGUUGGAAUUGAACAUUGAAUAUGCUGGUGGUGACGCUUUCUGAUGAGAAGUUGGUCGUGACUGAUGCAGUAUCCUUGGACUUGUCCACAGCAU